CUACGGGAGGCAGCAGUGGGGAAUCUUGCGCAAUGGGCGAAAGCCUGACGCAGCAACGCCGCGUGGAGGAUGAAGGCCCUUGGGUUGUAAACUCCUGUCGGCUGGGAAGAAAUCGUUCGGAGCUAAUACCUCCGGACGUUGACUGUACCAGCAAAGGAAGCCCCGGCUAACUCUGUGCCAGCAGCCGCGGUAAUACAGAGGGGGCCAGCGUUAUUCGGAAUUAUUGGGCGUAAAGGGCGCGUAGGCGGCCACGCGUGUCUUUCGUGAAAUCCCUCGGCUUAACUGAGGACGUGCGGAAGAAACUGCGAGGCUCGAGUCCGGGAGAGGGGGGUGGAAUUCCCAGUGUAGCGGUGAAAUGCGUAGAUAUUGGGAGGAACACCGGUGGCGAAGGCGGCCCCCUGGACCGGUACUGACGCUGAGGCGCGAAAGCGUGGGGAGCAAACGGGAUUAGAUACCCUGGU
Molecule: ribosomal RNA, 461 nt
Filed under: uncultured bacterium
Lineage: Bacteria
Description: bacterial SSU rRNA
Rfam family: Bacterial small subunit ribosomal RNA
Source: RNAcentral